This is a non-coding RNA of Gasterosteus aculeatus aculeatus (three-spined stickleback), 1104 nucleotides long. Lineage: Eukaryota; Metazoa; Chordata; Actinopteri; Perciformes; Gasterosteidae. The record is from RefSeq and is a predicted model, not a curated record.
GAGGCACAGCGAUCAGGGAGGAAGAUCGUUCACAGCUGCUUCACGUCACAAGCCCCCAAAGCGGCUCGAGGAUAUGAGCAAUCCGCCGCGAGUCCACGUGCACGUUUUCUGUUUAAGCCUCGCAAAUCUGCAAGAUCCAGAGUAACAUAACACUUUGGCUCGAGGGAUUUAUUCCUCCAUCCAUCAGGAAUGUGGCAGAUGUUUAUCUAAAGUGCAUACGGGGAGGUGUACCGUGCCCUCUGACACGUGCAACCGAUGGCAUCCCGGCGCGUCUCGCCAAAAGUGCAAGUAUCCAUCCUUCUCCAGCGCCUCCGGUUGACUGUGUGUGCGUGUGUGUCACCACGGCGACGCACCGAGGCUCCGGUUAAUUAACCCGGAGGAGUGUUGCCACUUCUCGUCCGUUUUUACAUGUUUUCCUAACAGCUUGUUGGUGUGAAGGCUGUCGCCGAUGGACUGUCUCGCCUCCGUAGUCGGCGUAGCGUCACUGCAUUUAUGCUCACGGCUCUGGCUGUCCACCUCGGUCGGGCAGGAGAGACGCCGCGUCCCUCCUUCCUCAGACCACGUGCACUCACGUUGCCACGGACGACGACUCGAAACCCGCCAGGAAACCAGCACAUGAGGAGGAAACCGAGGCGGGUGGUGGCUGAUGGGACCCGUCCUCGUCUCCAUGGAGAUGUCGCCACGCGCAAACAGAAGGGGAGCUGCCGGCGGACUCGAAAAACAACUUCUGAGAAGGAACCCAGUGUGACAGCUUGGACCCGCGUUCUACAGCCACACACUUCUGCCUAAUAAUAAAGCCUCUCCAGUGUCAGAGAGGAUGAAAUCUUCACAACGCCCCCUCACUAUGAAGCUGUGCAAACAAAGCACUGGCUUGCCAGAAGCCAGGCGGAAAAAAACCCCCAUUAAUUCAACUUUUUCAAAUUUGAGCCUUGAUAUGCACACGCAAGGGAUGAUUAAUCAAUAUUUAGAAAUGUGGCAUGAAUAAGGAAAACAAGCUUAAUUAUUAGUCACCCAAAAUAAUUUCUUUGAAGUUUGUCUUCUCCAUGAUUGUUGUAAUUUAACAACCUAAAUUCCAGGUAAAUAAAAUGCAGCUUGGUUAAUGUU